GACCGAAUGGAACCGAAUGCAAUGAAACAAUAACACAAUGCCCUUCAGAGAAGUAUCAGUGUGCUGCAGUAAGAAUCGUGUAUUAUAAAGAGGCGUAUUUAUCACCAAGUGUUGCAGCACCGACCUCUGCAACAGCCAACCUGUCCCAGAGGUCACUCCACCCGUUCAAAAUGGCAGGAAGUGUUUCACCUGUGACGGACAAACAUGCACCAAAACUCUAAACUG
Mugil cephalus (flathead mullet) is the source of this 225-nucleotide long non-coding RNA. RefSeq lists it as uncharacterized. The transcript has 3 exons. Lineage: Eukaryota; Metazoa; Chordata; Actinopteri; Mugiliformes; Mugilidae. The record is from RefSeq and is a predicted model, not a curated record.